ACGUGUAAAAUUAUAUUUAAAACUUGAAAACCGAUAAAAUUAGUCAAACCUGGUCAAACUUGUAUAAAAUCAGGUCAACCCAUAAAAAACAUAAAAACCGGUCUGAUCUCACGAUUUCACUUGAAAUUUAAAACUUAUGCCUGUUAGCACCUUUCAUCCCUUUCCCUUCCUCUUUCCCCAUCAAAUUGAGAAAUUACUUUCCCUAGAUUCGAAGCAUUCUUGGCGAGACGAAGGUAAGAAUUUAUUCCCAAUCCCAAGCUUUCUUGGCGACUCUAUCCUCUUAUUGCUGAAGUUCAUCUUAUUGUUGGGAAAAAGCAAAGUGAAGCAAAGAAGGGUUUGAAUUGGGAUUGUGCAAGUUGAGUAAGAAAGCCAGUACUACAAUGUUGGAGCCAAAGGCUAUGGUUCUUCGUCUUCCAAGAACUAGGCUCUUAUUAUCUAAAGAAGAGACGAUUAUCAUUUAGAGUAGAGAGAGAGCUAGGAAAGCAUGAAUUGAACUCAACACCACUACGGUCUUGAACUCCAUCAACUCAAAGCUCAAGAUCGACUCAGAUAUGCCUGUCUCUUACAAGGCUUUGAUGGUGGUGUUGUCGACUUCUCUGUCCAAGGUUCCUCCGAUCCUUACCUCGUCGGGUCACAGGAACUUCAGAGACCUUGUAAUAUAUCUGUCUUGGUUCUUUUCAGUUUUGUGUGUUGUUCCACAUUCUCUUUAGGAUGGAAUUUGAUAACUAGUAAUUUUUUAGUACUUGAUGAUUAUACGCCUUGAUAUUCUUUGAUUCUUGUCUUUUUUCUUUUGCUUAGACUUUAUUUUACAAAAGUGAAAUUAGGCUCUCCUCUUAAAGAAUUCAACGUGCAGAUUAAUACUGGAAGUGGUCUUGUGGGUCUACUGCAAUUCCUGCAACAACUGCCCACGUAGUGGCCUUGAAGUAAACUCUCUUUCCUUGCCUUGUCAUUAGUCUUUCUAUACAUUUGUAGAAUUGGAAAACUUAAAACUAAGGUUCAACUUCCUGUGGUAUGAUGUUUGUGUUUUGCAGAUUCAGCUCAAUUUCCUUGAUUCCGACAGCUCAUCAACUACUGGGCAGGUCCGUUGUUCAGACCCAAUUUGCACUUCAGCAGUUCAAACCACAGCAACCCAAUGCUCUUCUCAAACUGAUCAGUGUAGUUAUACAUUCCAAUAUCGAGAUGAAAGGGGGACAUCAUGCUAUUAUGUCUCUUAUACACUUUAUUUUGAUGUUAUUUUAGGGCAAUCACUGAUCACCAACUCCUCAACUCUCAUGGUCUUUGGGUAGGUUUUCUAAUGCUAUUGAACAAGAAUGUGGCGUGUUCUGUUUUUUGAUUAACAAUGAUUAUGUUUUUUAAAGAGAAGAGAUAAGUGGAAUUAAAGAGAACUGCUACUAGGUCUAUAAUGUUUUUUCCUUUUCUGUUAAUC
This is a long non-coding RNA of Populus euphratica (Euphrates poplar), 1426 nucleotides long. RefSeq lists it as uncharacterized. The record is from RefSeq and is a predicted model, not a curated record. NCBI's taxonomy places the organism in Eukaryota, Viridiplantae, Streptophyta, Magnoliopsida, Malpighiales, Salicaceae. The transcript is spliced from 2 exons.